AUUGAACGCUGGCGGCAGGCCUAACACAUGCAAGUCGAACGAGUGGCGGACGGGUGAGUAAUGUCUGGGAAACUGCCUGAUGGCGGGGGAUGACUACUGGAAACGGUAGCUAAUACCGCAUACCAUCGGAUGUGCCCAGAUGGGAUUAGCUAGUAGGUGGGGUAAAGGCUCACCAAGGAGACGAUCCCUAGCGGGUCUGAGAGGAUGACCAGCCACACGGGAACUGAGACACGGUCCAGACCCCUACGGGAGGCAGCAGUGGGGAAUAUUGGACAAUGGGCGCAAGCCUGAUGCAGCCAUGCCGCGGGUAUGAAGAAGGCUUUCGGGUUGUAAAGUACUUUCAGCGGGGAGGCGUUACCCGCAGAAGAAGCACCGGCUAACUCCGUGCCAGCAGCCGCGGUAAUAC
RNAcentral lists this ribosomal RNA (406 nucleotides) under uncultured bacterium. RNAcentral's name for it is "partial 16S ribosomal RNA". It matches the Rfam family "Bacterial small subunit ribosomal RNA", at positions 29 to 526 of the family's 1533-position model. The record is from RNAcentral.